RNAcentral lists this non-coding RNA (53 nucleotides) under unclassified sequences. Its description in RNAcentral is "DUF3800-VI RNA". It matches the Rfam family "DUF3800-VI RNA". From Rfam's summary of the family: Actinobacteria, Planctomycetes, Proteobacteria, Spirochaetes. Nearby to DUF3800 The record is from RNAcentral.
CGGCUGAGAGGGCGACAUUCAGUCGCUCGUUUGGGACCUUCCCAACUCGGCCU